UUUCCGUAGGUGAACCUGCGGAAGGAUCAUUAUUGUAUAACCGAGGUGCGAGGGCUGUCGCUGACCCGAAAGGUCGUGCACGCCCGAGUGCCCUCACACACAUCCAUCUCACCCCUAUGUGCACCACCGCGUGGGUCCCCCUUUGGCUUGUUCGGAGGGGGGCUUACGUUUUCACACAAACUUUGUAUGCAGUGUAGAAUGUAUUUUUUGUUUUUGCGAUCACGCAAUCAAUACAACUUUCAACAACGGAUCUCUUGGCCCUCGCAUCGAGGAAGAACGCAGC
RNAcentral lists this unclassified non-coding RNA (283 nucleotides) under plant metagenome. Its description in RNAcentral is "partial contains small subunit ribosomal RNA, internal transcribed spacer 1, and 5.8S ribosomal RNA". The stretch from base 235 to 283 matches the Rfam family "5.8S ribosomal RNA", at positions 1 to 49 of the family's 154-position model. The record is from RNAcentral.